This is a long non-coding RNA of Cyprinus carpio carpio, 578 nucleotides long. The record is from Ensembl. Lineage: Eukaryota; Metazoa; Chordata; Actinopteri; Cypriniformes; Cyprinidae.
CUCAGUAGUGCCUUUGUGUUUCUCCUGCAGGAGAACCGUCAGUGGGGCCCUUCCAGUCCCUGCACGCAGAGUAAAGAAGGUAAGUAAUUCUGAUGAAUUGGGUGAGGUGCGUACCUGACGCCGUUCGCCACGAGAUUCUGGGUCCACGGUUGGAAACACCUAAAAGGUCCACAGGUAAGUAUGCAGGUGAAUAUAUGCAAGGGCGAUGCACUGGUAUUUCACUCGGGGCGUACAGGUAAGUAUGCAGAAGGACAACUGGGUCUUUACUUUGGACGUACAGGUGAGUAUACAGGGGCAACUGGAGCUUGACUUUGGGCAUACAGGUAAGUAUACAAGGGCAAUACGCUGGCUCUUAGCUUGAGGCGUACAGAUGGGCGUACAGAUGGGCAUACAGGGGCAACUGGAGCUUUGCUCUGGGCAUGCAGGUGGAUAUACAAUGACAAUACUGAAUGGAUACAACUCACAGACCCUCGAAGAGGUGGACGUCAGGCUUUAGCCCUUUUCAGCUCGGGAGUCUAGAGAAGAUGUAUAUGUCACGACAACUGUGGUCUUCUUCACCAGGGCAGACUUCCCAGACC